This 1344-nucleotide long non-coding RNA is filed under the name Salmo salar (Atlantic salmon). RNAcentral describes it as "lncRNA (ENSSSAG00000111775.1)". The record is from RNAcentral. Lineage: Eukaryota; Metazoa; Chordata; Actinopteri; Salmoniformes; Salmonidae.
UGACGAUCCUACUGAGAGGCGUGUAAGCUUGGAGCGCCUCCUUCAGGGCAAAAAUAAAGACAAGAUUAGCACAUUUGUUUGUUUAUUUGUGAAUAUAAUAUCAGCGUUUUUAUAAGUGGAAUGAAUGCCGAUACAUAUGUAUAUAAGGCCAAUAUUGGCCGAAAAUAUGGCUAAACUGAUUUAUUGUUUGGCCUCUAGUGGUCAUAGUGCUGUAGUGGGCUGGGAUUGGGAGAUCAUGAGGGACUCUCAGUGAGAAGAGGAGACUGGCGUAACCAUGGUUGCACUUGCAACCACUUAACACUGUCACUCACACUAUCAUCAACUCUGGUAUUCACAUCACACCGCAAUGCUAGAAAUGCAGUCUAGAGGGGGAAACAUCGAUUACAUGAGAGAGGGAGAGAGAGCCAACAAACCAAAAAGAAAGAUGGACAGCGAGAAAGCAACAGAAGCAGAAUACCUCUGUUAGUAAGAGACUGUGCUUGUAUUGUUCUCUGUAUCAAUGAUCUACAGAAGAGAGUUCUGACUCUCUACCGUGUGUCCUAAAUGGCACCAUAUUCCCCAUAGUGCACUACAUUUAAAAAGUAGUGCACUAGGGAAUAGGGUUCCAUUUGAGAUGCCUCCUAGGUUGUCCUCAAGGGAUUGGCUAUUGGCUGUGUGUGAUCAGUCAGUCAGACCAGGUAGGUAGGCUAGAGACUCGAGAGGUACGGAGGCUAGAGGCUAGGUGUGGUCAGUCAGUCAGACCAGGUAGAUAGGCUAGAGGCUAGAGAGGUACGGAGGCUAGAGGCUAGGUGUGGUCAGUCAGUCAGACCAGGUAGAUAGGCUAGAGAGGUACAGGGAGGCUAGAAGCUGUGUGUGGUCAGUCAGACCAGGUAGGUCAGGCCUGGGCAAUUAUUUUCCAUGGAGGGCCACAUUAGAAUAUAUUUUUGCCAUUGCGGGCGAGAAUCAUACUACAGGAUUAUACAUCAUGUGUAUGACUGUGUUGACAGAUAUAUCUACUGUAAAUCACGUCCAGAUAUGCUACUUAUUUUACUUUUUUAACAUGCACAGAAAUAAACCACAUCCAUGUUCUCCUUUUGGGAGUCAUUAUUAAACAUGCAAUGAACUACACGGAGGGAAAGUGCACUGCACUUUCAGCACCAUGGACAGAACUCUUGUUAGCGGGUAUGCACAAAAACACAAGAGAGAGCUUAAAGUUACAUUUAAACUACUCAAUCAGUGUGAGGAGUGAAGUCUCUGAUUGGCAUUGACUAGAACAGUGAAGUCAGGUAUAGUUUCUGACGUCGCUAUGCGCAGGAUUGCUAAGAAGUGCGAGUCAGUAAGAGAUGAUUUGUGCCUUGACUUGUC